This 930-nucleotide ribosomal RNA is filed under the name uncultured bacterium. RNAcentral describes it as "bacterial SSU rRNA". It matches the Rfam family "Bacterial small subunit ribosomal RNA", at positions 8 to 916 of the family's 1533-position model. The record is from RNAcentral.
AGAGUUUGAUCCUGGCUCAGAAUCAACGCUGGCGGCGUGCCUCAGACAUGCAAGUCGAACGCGAAAGUCCCCUUCGGGGGGCGAGUAGAGUGGCGCACGGGUGAGUAACACGUAGGUAAUCUACCUUUGGAUGGGGAAUAACAACCGGAAACGGUUGCUAAUACCGCAUAAUGCAGCGGCACCUAAUGGUGACAGUUGUUAAAGCGGGGGAUCGAAAGACCUCGCGUCUAAAGAGGAGCCUGCGGCGGAUUAGCUAGUUGGUAAGGUAACGGCUUACCAAGGCGAUGAUCCGUAGCCGGCCUGAGAGGGCGGUCGGCCACACUGACACUGACAUACGGGUCAGACUCCUACGGGAGGCAGCAGUCGGGAAUUUUGGGCAAUGGGCGAAAGCCUGACCCAGCAACGCCGCGUGAAGGAUGAAAUCCCUCGGGAUGUAAACUUCGCAAGAACGGGAAGAAUAAGUAAGAGUUAACACCUCUUACGAUGACGGUACUGUUUGUAAGCUCCGGCUAACUCCGUGCCAGCAGCCGCGGUAAUACGGGGGGAGCAAGCGUUGUUCGGAUUUACUGGGCGUAAAGGGCGCGUAGGCGGCCACCGCAAGUCGGUAGUGAAAUCUCCGGGCUUAACCCGGAAAGGUCAACCGAUACUGCGGGGCUAGAGUGCAGAAGGGGCAACUGGAAUUCUCGGUGUAGCGGUGAAAUGCGUAGAUAUCGAGAGGAACACCUGCGGCGAAAGCGGGUUGCUGGGCUGACACUGACGCUGAGGCGCGAAAGCUAGGGGAGCGAACGGGAUUAGAUACCCCGGUAGUCCUAGCCUUAAACGAUGAAUGCUUGGUGUCUGGGGUUUUAUAGUCCCCGGGUGCCGUCGCUAACGCUUUAAGCAUUCCGCCUGGGGAGUACGGUCGCAAGACUGAAACCCAAGAAUUGACGG